AUUUCUGUUGUCGUGGUUAUUUCGUUCACACUUUUACUUUGUCACAAUAAUAAUUUGCAUGAGUUAUGUUACGGGUCUCAUUACCAUCCCCCCUAGACCGUCGGGCCAAAAGGGAUUCGUAACAGCCACAUUUUUUGAGGUAUUACUUUAGUGCCUUGUUGCAAAAAGGAUGCAUGUUUUGGAAUACUUUAAUAAUGUACAUGUUUCCUCCUUUUCACUCUGUGUAUUAGGUUAGUAUUGUGGCGUAACUACAAUGUUGAUCCAUCCUCAGUUUUCCCCUACACAGCCAUUAAACUCUAACUUUUUUAAAGUCACCAUUGGCCUCAUGGUGAAAUCCCUGAGGGGUUUCCUUCCUCUCUGGCAACUGAGUUAGGAAGGACUCAUGUAUCUUUGUAGUGAUACCCGUCUACCAAUAUGAUAUGUGCCCUUUGUGAUGCAUUGGAAAACCUCCCUGCUCUUUGUGGUUGAAUCUGUGUUGGAAAUUCACUGCAAGAAAACUAUUCUGUGUGGGGUACAGAGAGGAGUUAGUCAUUAAAAAAUCAUGUUAAGCACUAUUGCACACAGUGAGUCCAUGCAACUUAUUAUGUGACUUGUUAAGCAUUUUUACUCCUGAAUUUAUUUAGGCUUGCCAUAACAAAUGGGUAGAAUACUUACUGAAUCAAUACAUUUCAGGUUUUCAUUUUUUAUUAAUUUGGACAUAUUUAUAUAAACAUAAUUCCACUUUGACAUUAUGUGGUAUUGUGACUAUGCCAGUGAGAAAAAAAUCAAUUUAAAAUAAGGCAGUAAUACAACAAAAUUCAGAAAACGUCAAGUGGUGUGAAUACUUUCUGAAGGCAUUGUACAUGGCUGGAACCAUAUCUUUGUAACUAGGGGAACUGUACAUUUAGCCAUUUGUAGUUUUUCUCCAAUGGUUUCAACUGUUUUCAAACUAACUCUACAGAAUUAAACCCAGUUCUCUCUCUUUCAGCCCCUUCUCCCUCUGCCUGGUUUCUCAGAACUCAAGAAUUCCUGAUGCUCACCUUGUCAAGAUAGCUUCUUAUUCCUCAAACAUCAACAAGCAUGCUUGGAACCUCACCAUUGUUUUGGCUCCAAACCUUCUCGUGUGUGGUGUGUGUGUUUAUCUACAUCUGCCACACUGUCAUGGAUACUGAAUAACUGGCUAUGUCUGAGGCCCAAACAGUGUGGUGAGUGUGUCUGUAGGCUGUAUUUUCUUUGUUUCUAUGACUAUCCUUUUGUUGCCUGUUUUUAUCUGAUAAUUCCAAUUUCAACCAGUAAGACUUUACUAAAUUAAACCAGAGGAAUGUACUGUCUGACUGUGCUCCUGUCUCUCAGGUGAGCUGAUCCAGUGACUGCAAGAUCUUUGUUUUGGACCUUCAGAAUAGUCUGUGUGAGAUGCUGGGGUGAUCCUCCCUGAGUGCAGUCCGCUGAUUGAUUAGUCUAACAGCGGGAGGCAGUAUGAGCUCUAACGGUACUAACCAGAUGGAUAGUGUGAAAUUGCAAGUGUUAGGGGGGGGGACGACAUCUGCCUUCAGGGUGACUUUGUGAUCUCUCCAUGUUAUAUACAGUAUGACAGUAAUUUCUGAUGUUUAUGUUGUCUUCAGAGGUCUGCAGGGGGAGUUUGAUAGCAGAUUGUGUGGAGCGGGAGCUGCAGGUGUAGGAAAUGGGAUUCGGGGAUGGAAAUCAGCAGGAUUUUAGCUCACAAAACACACACACACCACUGCUCUGUGCUCCGGUAGUGGAGCUUUACUAAUAAUCUGAAUUCCCUUUUCAAAUAUACUAUGAUAUGCGCAUACCAUUUUGUGAUGUUGUAUAUCGUUUCUAUAUAUUUUAUAUUCAGACAAGACCAAGGAGACGAAGCAGGAGCACAUGGUAAGUGCUACGGCAUCUGAUGGCACUGUGAAGCUGUGGCACCCCUUCCAGGUGAGCUGAAUGCAAUUUGAUUUAGGAUUUAAGAUUUGAUUGGAGCAGUGUCAAAGCAGGAAGGAGUCCAGGCAUUCCUCACUGUGUCUGAAGAUCGGUCGCUGAAGUCUUGGAGCAUUGGGUAACACAUGGGUAACACAUUUAUCAACCUAAAUUAAUCGUCCAAUUUCCAUGCUUGAUGUUUUUUGCUUAGAUUUUUAUUAAUUUCCCAUCUUUACUGUUUCCUCCAGAGAGUCCUUCCAACCAGAGGGCCACUGUUACUGCUCUGUGAUGCUCUCAGAGUGGCUAUAUGGAAACACAACACUUUAGUUGGCCACAAAAAGGUAUCUCCAUACAGUAACUUCCAUUCAGGACCUUGUUUUGUUGGUGUGUAUUUAACAUUUGAGUAAUUUAGCAGACUCUCAUAUCCAGAGCAACUUACAGUAGUCAGAGCAUACAUUUUCAUACUGGUCCCCCAUUGGAAUUAAACCCACAACCCUGAGCAUUGCAAGCACCAUGCUCUACCAACUGAGCCACAUUUUGGUGAAUAAAACAAAGUUGGUUUAUCUGUGAUUUGCUUGUCUCUCAGGUGUCUGACAGUAGUGUAAAAGUGAUCUGCUCCAUGCCUGAUGAUUAGUUAUCUGUGGUCCGCAAGAGGUUGGAGUGGAAUCUUUAGCACAAUGCUGCAAGGUCAGCUCUUGUUAUUGGCACAAUUUGGCAUUUGUAAGAAAUUGAUUACAUUUGCUGGUUGAAAAUGUGGAAAUGUUCAGUAGUAUAUACAGUGUACUCAGACCACUUUACAUGUUCUACAUUUUGUUACAUUACAGCCUUAUUCUAAACAUGAAAAAAAAUCCUCAUCAAUACCCCAUAAUGAAGAAACGAAAACCGUUUUUUAGAAAUGUAGGCAAAUGUAUUUAAAAUAAAAAACACAAAUACUUUAUUUACAUAAGUAUUCAGACCUUUUGCUAUGAGACUCGAAAUUGAGCUCAGGUGUAUCCUGUUUCCAUUGAUCAUCCUUGACAUGUUUAUACAACUUGAUUGGACUCAACCUGUGGUAAAUUCAAUUGAUUGGACAUGAUUUGGAUUGGCACGCACCUGUCUAUAUAAAGUCCUACAGUUGACAGUAUAUGUCAGAGAAAAAAACAAGACAUGAGGUCGAAGGAAUUGUCCGUAGAGCUCCGAGACAAGAUUGUGUUGAGACACAGAUCUGGGGAAGAGCACCAAAAAAUGCCUGCAGCAUUGAAGGUCCCCAAGAACACAGUGGCCUCCAUCAUUAUUAAAUGGAAGACAUUUGGAACCACCAAGACUCUUUCAAGAGCUGGCUGUCCGGCCAAACUGAGCAAUCAGGGGAGAAGGGCCUUGGUCAGGGAGGUUACCAAGAACACGAUGGUCACUCUGACAGAGCUUCAGAGUUCCUGUGUGGAGAUGAGAGAACCUUCCAGAAGGACAGCCAUCACUGCAGCACUCCACCAAUCAGGCCUUUAUGGUAGAGUGGCCAGACUGAAGCCACUCCUCAGUAAAAGGCACAUGACAACCCGCUUGGAGUUUGCCAAAAGUCACUUAAAGACUCUCAGAAUCAAGAUUCUCUAGUCUGAUGAAACCAAGAUGGAACUCUGUGGUCUGAAUGCCAAGCGUCACGUCUGGAGGACACCUAGCACCAUCCCUACGGUGAAAAAUGGUGGUGGCAGCAUCAUGCUGUGGGGAUGUUUUUCAGUGGCAGGGACUGGCAGUCUAGACAGGAUCGGAGCAAAGUACAGAAAUUGAUCCAUGAUGAAAAUCUGCACCAGAGCACUCAGGACCUCAGACUGGGGCAACAAUUCACCUUGCAACAGGACAAUGACACUAAGCACACAGACAACACAAAGCAGGAUUGGCUUUGGGACAAGUCUCUGAAUGUCCUUGAGGGGCCCAGCCAGAGUUCGGACUUGAACACUAUUGAACAGAGACCUGAAAAUACCUGUGCAGCGACGCUCCCCAUCCAACCUGACAGAGCUUGAAAGGGUCUGCAGAGAAGAAUGGGAGAAACUCCCCAAAUACAGGUGUGCCAAGCUUGUAGUGUCAUACCUAAGACAACUUGAGGCUGUAAUUGCUUCAACAAUAUACUGAGUAAAGGGUCUGAAUACUUAUGUAAAUGUCAUUUUUCUGUUGUUUUUUUUAAUUGAAGAGGAAAAAAACUAUUUAUUCAAUAAGGCUGUAUUUUAUUUUUUACCAGGCAAGUCAGAUUUUUACCUUGUCAGCUCUGGGAUUUGCUCCAGCAACCUUUCGGUUACUGGCCCAACACUCUAACCACUAGGCUACCUAACGUUACAAAAUGUGGCAAAAGUCGAAGGGUCUGAAGACUUUCCGAAUACGCCGUACAGUAGAUGGCAUUUUAGUCAUAAUGUCUUCUAGUACUCCUGCAAUGCCUGCUGGUAAACUGUCAUCCUUUUGCCCCUAGUCUGUUGGUGUCCACAUACUCAGUGCCUUCCCCAGUGACGCACCUGUACUACUGCCCUAUCCUGCUGGGAACCUGUGAGGAUGGAAAUAUAAUCAGUGUCCUCAUUGACCCUGAUGCUGAUAGAGAAAUGAUCAAGUAAAGCACAUGAUCAAGCACAAUGAUCAAGUAAAGACACACACAUUAUGUGGUGAACCAGAUCCAGACUGAUAAAUACUGACUUAAAAUGUACAUAACUGAUUAAAUUGCAGUUGGAAGGAUGACAUGUGAAUUCUUGGAAUGUGGCCAACGAUGAAAAAAGAACUUGGUUGGUAGAUGAGAAGAAAGGACAGGUUGUGCUUGGCAUCUUGGUGAGUUUACCACCAUCACCGACACAUUCAUCAUUUUCAGUGAUCUCACUGCUGCUGUUUGGAUUAUUGUUUUGAUAAGACCAUAUUAUCAUCCACCAAUAUAACUUCUAUCUGCCUUCUUUAGUAUAUCAUGUUACAGGGCUCCCAAGUGGCGCAGUGAUCUAAGGCACUGCAUCUUAGUGCAAGAGGUGUCCCUACAGACCUUGGUUUGAAUCCAGGCUGUAUCACAUCCGGUUGUGAUUUGGAGUCCCAUAGGGCGGCGCUCAAUUGGCCCAGCGUCUUCCGGGUUUGGCCUGGGUAGGCCGUCAAUGUAAAUAAGAAUUUGUUCUUAACUGACUUGCCUAGUUAAAUAAAGGUUACAUUUAAAAAAUGUGGUGACAUUGAGCUAGAAAUGGACCCGUCUAGUGGUGGAAUAGGUGGCUGGAUAUCUGCAGUGACUGUGGAGAGAGGUACAGUAGCUGCACUGCAGUACAAUGACACUCACAUAACAAGUUGGUAUAUGAAUAGUUGAUUAACUGGACUGUUAUUCUGUGUCCUGUCUCUAGAGUUAGCGGUUGUGGGAGAUUCCAAGGGGAAAAUGUGGUUCGACCAGCUACCAAAUGUCAACUCCUAGAGCAGCAGGAAACCUGUAAGAUGUCUCCCUUUUGAAACUGGUGUCUUUUUUUUCCAACGGUGAUGGUUUUUUAUGGAUAUUCUCUAGGCAUUCUCUGAUCCUAUGAUCAGUGUCCUGCGACUCACCAACCAGCACCGUCAUCUCAGUGUCCCAUGACAGAACUGUCAAAAUGUGGGACAAACACCAAGAAACGGGUGCAUGUGGGUGUGUUUGCGUGUGUGGGUCCUGUUCUAGUCUUGAAGGUCAACCCGCACUGCUCCAGUGAACUGGUGUGUGGCGAUUAACUGAGCCAGCUCUACUUCCUCUCCUGGUGGGAAUAACCGGCUCAGUGUACACAGACAUUGUAUACACAUCCUUGCAAUCAUAAUUAACGUACUCU
This is a long non-coding RNA of Oncorhynchus keta (chum salmon), 5675 nucleotides long. RefSeq lists it as uncharacterized. Lineage: Eukaryota; Metazoa; Chordata; Actinopteri; Salmoniformes; Salmonidae. The transcript is spliced from 2 exons. The record is from RefSeq and is a predicted model, not a curated record.